This 458-nucleotide ribosomal RNA is filed under the name Phormidium minutum. RNAcentral describes it as "bacterial SSU rRNA". It matches the Rfam family "Bacterial small subunit ribosomal RNA", at positions 1 to 501 of the family's 1533-position model. Lineage: Bacteria; Bacillati; Cyanobacteriota; Cyanophyceae; Oscillatoriales; Oscillatoriaceae. The record is from RNAcentral.
NNACAUGGAGAGUUUGAUCCUGGCUCAGGAUGAACGCUGGCGGCGUGCUUAACACAUGCAAGUCGAACGAACACUUUCGGGUGUUAGUGGCGGACGGGUGAGUAACGCGUGAGGAUCUGCCCUCAGGUGGGGGACAACAGUUGGAAACGACUGCUAAUACCGCAUAUGGCGAGAGCUAAAAGAUUUAUUGCCUGAGGAUGAACUCGCGUCUGAUUAGCUAGUUGGGGGUGUAAUGGACUCCCAAGGCGACGAUCAGUAGCUGGUCUGAGAGGAUGAUCAGCCACACUGGGACUGAGACACGGCCCAGACUCCUACGGGAGGCAGCAGUGGGGAAUUUUCCGCAAUGGGGGCAACCCUGACGGAGCAACGCCGCGUGGGGGAGGAAUGUCUGUGGAUUGUAAACCCCUUUUCUCAGGGAAGAAGUCCUGACGGUACCUGAGGAAUCAGCAUCGGCUAAC